This 697-nucleotide ribosomal RNA is filed under the name uncultured bacterium. RNAcentral describes it as "bacterial SSU rRNA". It matches the Rfam family "Bacterial small subunit ribosomal RNA", at positions 8 to 694 of the family's 1533-position model. The record is from RNAcentral.
AGAGUUUGAUCCUGGCUCAGAUUGAACGCUGGCGGCAGGCCUAACACAUGCAAGUCGAACGGUAACAGGAAGCAGCUUGCUGCUUCGCUGACGAGUGGCGGACGGGUGAGUAAUGUCUGGGAAGCUGCCUGAUGGAGGGGGAUAACUACUGGAAACGGUAGCUAAUACCGCAUAAUGUCGCAAGACCAAAGAGGGGGACCUUCGGGCCUCUUGCCAUCGGAUGUGCCCAGAUGGGAUUAGCUUGUUGGUGGGGUAACGGCUCACCAAGGCGACGAUCCCUAGCUGGUCUGAGAGGAUGACCAGCCACACUGGAACUGAGACACGGUCCAGACUCCUACGGGAGGCAGCAGUGGGGAAUAUUGCACAAUGGGCGCAAGCCUGAUGCAGCCAUGCCGCGUGUACGAAGAAGGCCUUCGGGUUGUAAAGUACUUUCAGCGGGGAGGAAGGGAGUAAAGUUAAUACCUUUGCUCAUUGACGUUACCCGCAGAAGAAGCACCGGCUAACUCCGUGCCAGCAGCCGCGGUAAUACGGAGGGUGCAAGCGUUAAUCGGAAUUACUGGGCGUAAAGCGCACGCAGGCGGUUUGUUAAGUCAGAUGUGAAAUCCCCGGGCUCAACCUGGGAACUGCAUCUGAUACUGGCAAGCUUGAGUCUCGUAGAGGGGGGUAGAAUUCCAGGUGUAGCGGUGAAAUGCGUAGA